This 505-nucleotide ribosomal RNA is filed under the name uncultured bacterium. RNAcentral describes it as "partial 16S ribosomal RNA". It matches the Rfam family "Bacterial small subunit ribosomal RNA", at positions 28 to 507 of the family's 1533-position model. The record is from RNAcentral.
GACGAACGCUGGCGGCGUGCCUAAUACAUGCAAGUAGAACGCACAGUUUAUACCGUAGCUUGCUACACCAUAGACUGUGAGUUGCGAACGGGUGAGUAACGCGUAGGUAACCUGCCUGGUAGCGGGGGAUAACUAUUGGGAACGAUAGCUAAUACCGCAUAAUAUUAAUUAUUGCAUGAUAAUUAAUUGAAAGGUGCAAUUGCACCACUACCAGAUGGACCUGCGUUGUAUUAGCUAGUAGGUGAGGUAACGGCUCACCUAGGCGACGAUACAUAGCCGACCUGAGAGGGUGAACCGCCACCCUGGGAAUGAGACACGGCCCAGACUCCCACGGGAGGCAGCAGUAGGGAAUCUUCGGCAAUGGACGAAAGUCUGACCGAGCAACGCCGCGUGAGUGAAGAAGGUUUUCGGAUCGUAAAGCUCCGUUGUAAGAGAAGAACGGGUGGGAGAGUGGAAAGUUCACACUGUGACGGUAUCUAACCAGAAAGGGACGGCUAACUACGUG